This 56-nucleotide transfer RNA is filed under the name Candidatus Daviesbacteria bacterium RIFCSPLOWO2_01_FULL_40_27. RNAcentral describes it as "tRNA-His". It matches the Rfam family "tRNA", at positions 8 to 62 of the family's 71-position model. Rfam says of the family: Transfer RNA (tRNA) molecules are approximately 80 nucleotides in length. Their secondary structure includes four short double-helical elements and three loops (D, anti-codon, and T loops). Further hydrogen bonds mediate the characteristic L-shaped molecular structure. tRNAs have two regions of fundamental functional importance: the anti-codon, which is responsible for specific mRNA codon recognition, and the 3' end, to which the tRNAs corresponding amino acid is attached (by aminoacyl-tRNA synthetases). tRNAs cope with the degeneracy of the genetic code in two manners: having more than one tRNA (with a specific anti-codon) for a particular amino acid; and 'wobble' base-pairing, i.e. permitting non-standard base-pairing at the 3rd anti-codon position. Lineage: Bacteria; Candidatus Daviesiibacteriota. The record is from RNAcentral.
UAGCUCAACGGCAGAGCGCCAGAUUGUGGAUCUGGUGGUUGCGGGUUCAACUCCCG